CCUACGGGUGGCAGCAGUGGGGAAUAUUGGACAAUGGGCGAAAGCCUGAUCCAGCCAUGCCGCGUGUGUGAAGAAGGCCUUCGGGUUGUAAAGCACUUUCAGUGGGGAAGAAAGCCUUGGGGCUAAUACCCUCGAGGAAGGACAUCACCCACAGAAGAAGCACCGGCUAACUCCGUGCCAGCAGCCGCGGUAAUACGGAGGGUGCGAGCGUUAAUCGGAAUUACUGGGCGUAAAGCGCGCGUAGGCGGUCUGAUAAGCCGGUUGUGAAAGCCCCGGGCUCAACCUGGGAACGGCAUCCGGAACUGUCAGGCUAGAGUACAGGAGAGGAAGGUAGAAUUCCCGGUGUAGCGGUGAAAUGCGUAGAGAUCGGGAGGAAUACCAGUGGCGAAGGCGGCCUUCUGGACUGACACUGACGCUGAGGUGCGAAAGCGUGGGUAGCAAACAGGAUUAGAUACCCUAGUAGUC
This 465-nucleotide ribosomal RNA is filed under the name Vreelandella stevensii. RNAcentral's name for it is "partial 16S ribosomal RNA". It matches the Rfam family "Bacterial small subunit ribosomal RNA", at positions 338 to 795 of the family's 1533-position model. The record is from RNAcentral. Lineage: Bacteria; Pseudomonadati; Pseudomonadota; Gammaproteobacteria; Oceanospirillales; Halomonadaceae.